Musa acuminata AAA Group (dessert banana) is the source of this 2069-nucleotide long non-coding RNA. RefSeq lists it as uncharacterized. NCBI's taxonomy places the organism in Eukaryota, Viridiplantae, Streptophyta, Magnoliopsida, Zingiberales, Musaceae. The record is from RefSeq and is a predicted model, not a curated record. The transcript has 4 exons.
AAUUAAUUAAAAUGCGAAAGGAGGAAGGAAGAAGACGGAAGACACUGUCGCAGAGGAAGAAGAGAGAGAGAGAGAGAGAGAGAGAGAGAGAGAGAGAUCGUUUGAGGUAUGCAUCUAUGGCCAUCUUUACGGAUCCGGGACUCGUUCAAGCAAGCCUACCUCGACAAGAUCGAGCGCAACCUCCACCGCAUGCAGCAGCACAAGCAGCGGCUGCGAGGGGAGCGAUCCAGUGAUCCCCUCCUUGCCAACAGCUCCUCCGAUGGCGACGCCGGGAGCAGCUCCUCCAAAGACCGGCAGCAGCACGAGACCCUUUCGCCUCUGCGCUUCUGCAGCGACAUCCUAUUCGUUCUGUCCUGCUGUUGCUGCUGCUUCUGCUGUGGAGCUUGCAUCGACGAGAAGGAGAACCAAACUCCACAUUGAGAAGAGCAUUCAUUCAAGGAGUUUGUAAGGUAUCUAAGAAGUCGGAUGCCCGCUUUGGACUUCUAUGCUUUACGCAGUCAAUGCAAUGCUAUACUCGUUUAUAGUUUUGUAGAAUGAUUAAUACUCAGAAGUUUCCUAUUUUUCCUUGUAGUUUUAGAUAAAAUAUUCUUGUUCAUAAUUGUGCUUUUUUUUCUGCUUGGUAGAGUUCGUGUUUAUUGGGCAUGAAUUGACUAAUAAUUUUUCUUUAAUUUUCUUAAUGUUUAAGAAUUGAUUGGCUUCUUCGUUCUGUUCCAUAUCUUGGUAGGAAAUCAAGUGUUGGAUCGUCAUGCAUAUCGAUAUAAAAUAACGAUUAUACAUUUAUUCGCCCAGUUGAUCAUAAUAUAGUCAUAUCCAUUCCUUGAUACCAUAACGUGGCAGGGCCUCCGUGCAUCACGGUGGGGGCGCGUGUUAACUGGACGAAUCCGAAUCCGAAUCCGAAUCCGCCCUCACCCGUUUGAACACCAGACACGAGAUCCCAAGUCCGCGAAGUCCACGCGACGCCCAAUUAAUUGGACGAGUCUCGCCGAAUUAAUUGCGUGAGGAUAGCGCAUCUCCCGUUCGGUAGGAUUCCCUCCAACUUUUAUGGCAAGAAACUGGGACGCUUGAUAUGACGUGUCGAUCACAUCGGACCGUUUGAUGUAGAUAUUGGACCAUGAAAAAUUAGAUGACUAGUUGGAGAGGAUCCGUCAUCGUUAUCGCAAUCAUAAAUCUCGAAGUUGUUAGCCAGUGCAGUCGAUGACCGUACUCGGACGUCUCUCCCUGCAAUAAGUUGUGCACCGGGGUCAGGUUCCCCGCCUUCCUCUCUGCUGUCAGAUCUCUCAUCGCUUUCCCAUGGCGGUGGCCUCCUCCUUGCCGCCGUCAUCACUUGCGUUCUCGCUAGUUUCUGUCGUCGUCCUCCUUUCGACUGCGGAUCUCGCUUUCUCUUUGAUUCCACCGUCAAGCUCGCCCUCGCCCUCGCCGGUUCCAGGAGGUCCGCUCCGAUCGUCUCCCGCACCCUCGCCGGACUCCCCCCCCUCGCCAUCGCCAUCGCCAUCGCCGUCGCCCGAGAACCUUCUCUCUCCACUGGUGCCGGCGCUGCCACCAGAGGUGCCUUCGCCCGCCCCGACCCCAUCCGCGACGCCGUCGCCAGCACCGGUUCCGAGCCACGAGGAGAUCCAGUCCGGGGAGGUCGCCGACCAAGCGGGCCGUGACGGAGAAGGGGGAGGGAUGAGCGGGGAGAAAAAGGCGGGGAUCGCAGUGGGGGUGGUACUGGGGGUGGCGGUGCUCGCGGGCGGUUCUGUGCUGUACAAGAAGCGGCAGGACAACAUCCGGCGGUCCAGAUUGAAGACAACAACACUCUGGUCUUCAUUGUUGAUAUUCAAGAUGACAAGAAGAUGAUAAAAGCAGCUGUGUAGAAGAUGUAUGCAAAGAAAGUUAAUACUCUGAUCAGGCCCUGAUGGAACUAAGAAGGCUUAUAUUAGAUUAAUGCAUGACUACGACGCCCUCGACGUUGCAAAUAAAAUCGGCAUCAUUUAUUGCUGAGAUAAAAUUUAGCUCUUCACUUGAUCCCAGUUUUGAGGUUGUAUUUUUCACAACCUAUCAUUUACUUGGAAUGUUCUCUUGAUUUUUGC